Molecule: long non-coding RNA, 1959 nt
Organism: Mus musculus (house mouse)
Lineage: Eukaryota; Metazoa; Chordata; Mammalia; Rodentia; Muridae
Product: predicted gene, 31523
Exons: 3
Source: RefSeq, a predicted model, not a curated record
AUUGUAACCAUGGAGACAGUGAAUGGUGACACACUGUUUCUUCCACCCUGCCAGUGACUGUUGUGAACUGCAAGAUGGACAGCCAGCCAUGGAAAUGUUUAGUUUCCUCUGGGAGGUCAGCCUUGUGCCAUCUCUACUUGCACCAAUCCUGAGGUUAGAAUUCAGUCAUGACUUGAUGCACAGAGGCCGCUACAGCUACUGAUUUCUCCAUUGUACUUAACACUUACUAGCAGAGAAGGAGUUUUCUCCAUCACAUGCUCACAGCCAGUGCCACCUAGCAUUCCCCAUCUACAAGGGGCCUAAAAGCCAUGGGCCUUCCUCAUCGUAGACUGGAACCACUAAGAGGCAAUGGAAACCUUUUCUAUUUGUAACUUAAUUACUUCAGCUAUUUUAUUACAGAAAUCACGAUAACAUAAAAUCUAUGACCCAUGUUGCCCUAACCGAAUCCCUCACAUGGAAUGAAUUUUUGACCCCAGCAUCACAAUGAGGAACCAAGGAGUCUGCGAAUGUUAAAGCAGAGUGAGACAGAGCGCAUCUCUACCAAACAUGGUUAAGAGUUCAGAAGCUGAGGCCACCGACCAGAUGUGACUGACAAAGCAGAAUCCAGGGUCCCCAGUACUCAGCUGUGCUUUUGGUGUUUCUUAUUUGAGUUCCACUGCUCACAGCCUCCCCACCCCGUCCACAUGAACAAUGCGAAAGAUUUAAUCUUAAGGAACAAACUGAACGGUUUAAAGAUGCAUUGAACAAUCCAUUUUUUUAAAGCUCUCUAGUGACAAAGGAUGGAUUGAAGGAAGCAUGUAAUAAAUAUGUGUUCAAGGUGUGCCCUGAUCACAGCCCUAAGUUAAAGACAACUCACCCAGUGCUCAGUGUCCUGGGGCAACCAGUCAGCUGUGACAGUCUCAAUAGACAGAGGUAUAGAAAUACACUGGAUAUUCUUACCUGCGCCCUCUUCCUCUGUCUCUGUCUCUCUCUCUCCCUUCCUCACUCUCUCUUUCUCCCUUCUUCCCUCCCUUCUUCCAUCUUUCCCUCCAGAUAUUAUGGCUGAAUUGCCAGGGUUGAAACUCCUUUUUAAAGGAGCCUAUAAUUUUUCCAUGCCCAAGCUAGCUCACUGGGAGCCAUUAUGCAAAUCUUGAAAUAAGCUAGAAAUUCUCAGAGGUGGUGGAGACCAGAAUAGGGCUGUUGUGACAUUAGAGCUUCUAGGGACGGUUGCCGAGAAAGAGCUUCUAUUAUGUGUCUUGGGGAACAGAAGAACUGAAAAAUCAAAGAGUCAGAGAAGAAGACGCUAUGCUCUCAACUGCCCCAAAUUACUAAGCCUUACUUCAGGCCCCAUUACUUCCAAUAACAUUUGAUUUUUAUGAUGGUCUUUUCUUCUCCCUCUUUCCAUGUGGGCAUACUUAACAUGUGCCCUGAGUUGAGGUGGUUCGUCAGCCUUGCUACUUGGAUCCAUAAAGUUAGACUGUGUGCACACAGCUCAGAAUCUUUCCUUAUCUCUUUCUUUUGCACCCCCUCCCACCUCAUCCCAUCCGUCUAUCAACACUCCUCUCUCACAGAAGGAUCGAAGGAAGGCUAGACCUCAUGCUCUUGUGUCCACUCUGCGUUGGCACAAUGCGCAUGCGCAGAUACAGCGCCUCUGCAGUCUUCCCAUUGGAAAUGUGGGGGCUGAGUAAAGGGAGGAGGGAAGAAGACAAGCAUGCGCAGACAGCAGAUGAUAGCACCACAUACAGAGGACUCACAGACUUUUAAUUCCAUGUCACCUUCUGAGACACAAGCUGGCCUGAAAACUGCGUUGUAUUGCAUGGCCCGAAUUAGCUGCUUGUAAACAAAACCAAAAUAUGGCCAGUGGUGGAAGAUUCUAUUUAGAAUUUAGAAUUGAAUCAAGUUAGGGGAAGUGAGAGUCAUCACACACACACACACACACACACACACACACACACACGCACACACACACACGCACACACA